UGCGAAUGGCUCAUUAAAUCAGUUAUCGUUUAUUUGAUAGUACCUUACUACAUGGAUACCUGUGGUAAUUCUAGAGCUAAUACAUGCUAAAAACCCCGACUUCAGGAAGGGGUGUAUUUAUUAGAUAAAAAACCAACGCCCUUCGGGGCUCCUUGGUGAAUCAUAAUAACUUAACGAAUCGCAUGGCCUUGCGCCGGCGAUGGUUCAUUCAAAUUUCUGCCCUAUCAACUUUCGAUGGUAGGAUAGUGGCCUACCAUGGUGGCAACGGGUAACGGGGAAUUAGGGUUCGAUUCCGGAGAGGGAGCCUGAGAAACGGCUACCACAUCCAAGGAAGGCAGCAGGCGCGCAAAUUACCCAAUCCCGAUACGGGGAGGUAGUGACAAUAAAUACUGAUACGGGGCUCUUUUGGGUCUCGUAAUUGGAAUGAGAACAAUUUAAAUCCCUUAACGAGGAACAAUUGGAGGGCAAGUCUGGUGCCAGCAGCCGCGGUAAUUCCAGCUCCAAUAGCGUAUAUUAAAGUUGUUGCAGUUAAAAAGCUCGUAGUUGAACCUUGGGUCUGGCUGGCCGGUCCGCCUCACCGCGAGUACUGGUCCGGCUGGACCUUUCCUUCUGGGGAACCUCAUGGCCUUCACUGGCUGUGGGGGGAACCAGGACUUUUACUGUGAAAAAAUUAGAGUGUUCAAAGCAGGCCUUUGCUCGAAUACAUUAGCAUGGAAUAAUAGAAUAGGACGUGCGGUUCUAUUUUGUUGGUUUCUAGGACCGCCGUAAUGAUUAAUAGGGAUAGUCGGGGGCGUCAGUAUUCAGCUGUCAGAGGUGAAAUUCUUGGAUUUGCUGAAGACUAACUACUGCGAAAGCAUUCGCCAAGGAUGUUUUCAUUAAUCAGGGAACGAAAGUUAGGGGAUCGAAGACGAUCAGAUACCGUCGUAGUCUUAACCAUAAACUAUGCCGACUAGGGAUCGGACGGGAUUCUAUGAUGACCCGUUCGGCACCUUACGAGAAAUCAAAGUUUUUGGGUUCUGGGGGG
RNAcentral lists this ribosomal RNA (1024 nucleotides) under Penicillium sp. RNAcentral's name for it is "SSU rRNA". It matches the Rfam family "Eukaryotic small subunit ribosomal RNA", at positions 88 to 1121 of the family's 1831-position model. The record is from RNAcentral. Lineage: Eukaryota; Fungi; Ascomycota; Eurotiomycetes; Eurotiales; Aspergillaceae.